GAUGAAGAACGUAGCGAAAUGCGAUAAGUAAUGUGAAUUGCAGAAUUCAGUGAAUCAUCGAAUCUUUGAACGCACAUUGCGCCCGCCAGUAUUCUGGCGGGCAUGCCUGUUCGAGCGUCAUUUCAACCAUCAAGCCCCCGGGCUUGUGUUGGGGACCUGCGGCUGCCGCAGGCCCUGAAAAGCAGUGGCGGGCUCGCUGUCACACCGAGCGUAGUAGAUUUUAUCUCGCUCUGGGCGUGCUGCGGGUUCCGGCCGUUAAACCACCCUUUUAACCCAAGGUUGACCUCGGAUCAGGUAGGGAGACCCGCUGAACUUAAGCAUAUCAAUAAGCGGAGGA
This 337-nucleotide unclassified non-coding RNA is filed under the name soil metagenome. RNAcentral's name for it is "partial contains 5.8S ribosomal RNA, internal transcribed spacer 2, and large subunit ribosomal RNA". The stretch from base 1 to 120 matches the Rfam family "5.8S ribosomal RNA", at positions 35 to 154 of the family's 154-position model. The record is from RNAcentral.